GUAGGUGAACCUGCGGAAGGAUCAUUAACACGUUAUCCAACGUAUCAAAUCAUAUGAGAACUUAUUCCCUAAGACAUAACUGAGGUUGGCAAUCAGGUCAGAUUGAGUCGUUCUUCGGAACGUCGUCCUGAGAUGCAUAAGGGUUAGAUACCCUGAGACCACGACCAUGCGCUUAGGCUUUCACUAUUUCUUCAUACCUAUCAAUUUGGGUAUGUUGGGAUGACACUAUACAAUUUCACGAUAUUAAACC
Molecule: unclassified non-coding RNA, 250 nt
Filed under: plant metagenome
Description: partial contains small subunit ribosomal RNA, internal transcribed spacer 1, and 5.8S ribosomal RNA
Source: RNAcentral